UGGCGCGGCCUACACAUGCAAGUCGAGCGGAUGAAGGGAGCUUGCUCCUGGAUUCAGCGGCGGACGGGUGAGUAAUGCCUAGGAAUCUGCCUGGUAGUGGGGGAUAACGUCCGGAAACGGGCGCUAAUACCGCAUACGUCCUGAGGGAGAAAGUGGGGGAUCUUCGGACCUCACGCUAUCAGAUGAGCCUAGGUCGGAUUAGCUAGUUGGUGGGGUAAAGGCCUACCAAGGCGACGAUCCGUAACUGGUCUGAGAGGAUGAUCAGUCACACUGGAACUGAGACACGGUCCAGACUCCUACGGGAGGCAGCAGUGGGGAAUAUUGGACAAUGGGCGAAAGCCUGAUCCAGCCAUGCCGCGUGUGUGAAGAAGGUCUUCGGAUUGUAAAGCACUUUAAGUUGGGAGGAAGGGCAGUAAGUUAAUACCUUGCUGUUUUGACGUUACCAACAGAAUAAGCACCGGCUAACUUCGUGCCAGCAGCCGCGGUAAUACGAAGGGUGCAAGCGUUAAUCGGAAUUACUGGGCGUAAAGCGCGCGUAGGUGGUUCAGCAAGUUGGAUGUGAAAUCCCCGGGCUCAACCUGGGAACUGCAUCCAAAACUACUGAGCUAGAGUACGGUAGAGGGUGGUGGAAUUUCCUGUGUAGCGGUGAAAUGCGUAGAUAUAGGAAGGAACACCAGUGGCGAAGGCGACCACCUGGACUGAUACUGACACUGAGGUGCGAAAGCRUGGGGAGCAAACAGGAUUAGAUACCCUGGUAGUCCACGCCGUAAACGAUNUCNACUANCCGUUGGGAUCCUUGAGAUCUUAAUGGCGCAGCUAACGCGAUAAGUCGACCGCCKGGGGAGUACGGNCGCAAGGNUAAAARUCANAUGAANUGNNGGGGGCCCGCNCNAGCGGUGGANNNNGUGGUNUUAA
This 915-nucleotide ribosomal RNA is filed under the name Pseudomonas sp. AM05. RNAcentral's name for it is "partial 16S ribosomal RNA". It matches the Rfam family "Bacterial small subunit ribosomal RNA", at positions 40 to 950 of the family's 1533-position model. The record is from RNAcentral. Lineage: Bacteria; Pseudomonadati; Pseudomonadota; Gammaproteobacteria; Pseudomonadales; Pseudomonadaceae.